UGAGAAGAUGGUAUUGGAAGUAUGGGUUCGAUUCCCAUAAAUCAAGUAUGCAUAUUGGUUUUAGAGGUUCAAAUCCUCUCAUUCUCAUC
RNAcentral lists this transfer RNA (89 nucleotides) under compost metagenome. RNAcentral describes it as "tRNA-Ser". The record is from RNAcentral.